ACAUUGCCUUCUGGUUUAAGGGUAGAAGGUAAUUUCUGCCCACUGCAAAUUUAGUAAAGGGCUGCAGUAUUUUGACUGUAUAAAGGUAGCAUAAUCAUUAGCUUUUUAAUUGAGAGCUGGUAUGAAGGGGACACGGGGGAUUUGUGUAUCGAUAAAGAGUAUUGAAUUUUAUAGUUUUGUGAAAAAUCAAAGAUUGGGCUAAGGGACAAGAAGACCCUAUUUAAGUUUUAUUGUUGUUUUAGAAAAAUAUAUAGGAGCAAUUUGAAUUAGUGUAAUUUUUGAACAAUGGUUUGGCUGGGGCGGCGCAUUUAAAAACAAGAUUUUUGGUUUAAUAUAGUUUGGCGUGUUUUGGACCUGAGAGGAUCAAUUAAAUGGAUAAUUACUUUAGGGAUAACAGCGUUAUUAUUUCUGAGAGUUCUAAUUGACGGAGUAGCUUGCGACCUCGAUGUUGGAUUAAGAUUAGCGUUGGUGCAGUAGUCGGCGUGUUUGUCGUCGA
RNAcentral lists this ribosomal RNA (496 nucleotides) under Tylopus hilaroides. Its description in RNAcentral is "partial large subunit ribosomal RNA". It matches the Rfam family "Archaeal large subunit ribosomal RNA", at positions 1905 to 2649 of the family's 2987-position model. The record is from RNAcentral. Lineage: Eukaryota; Metazoa; Arthropoda; Diplopoda; Polydesmida; Paradoxosomatidae.